Molecule: ribosomal RNA, 805 nt
Filed under: uncultured bacterium
Lineage: Bacteria
Description: bacterial SSU rRNA
Rfam family: Bacterial small subunit ribosomal RNA
Source: RNAcentral
AGAGUUUGAUCCUGGCUCAGGACGAACGCUGGCGGCGCGCUUAACACAUGCAAGUCGUACGGGAUCGGGGCUUCGGCCCUGGUCCAGUGGCGAACGGGUGCGUAACACGUGAGCAACCUGCCUGCCGGUGGGGGAUAACCCGGGGAAACCCGGGCUAAUACCGCAUUCGCUCCUGUCCUCGAUUGGGGACUUGAGGAAAGGUGCUGCAAGGCACUGCCGGCAGAGGGGCUCGCGGCGUAUCAGCUAGCUGGUGGGGUAACGGCCUACCAGGGCGACGACGCGUAGCCGAUCUGAGAGGAUGAUCGGCCACAUUGGGACUGAGAUACGGCCCAGACUCCUACGGGAGGCAGCAGUGGGGAAUCUUGCGCAAUGGGCGAAAGCCUGACGCAGCGACGCCGCGUGGGGGAGGAAGCCUUUCGGGGUGUAAACCUCUGUCAGGGGGGAAGAAUGGGCGGGGGAGGAAAUGCCCCCGUUUUGACGGUACCUCCAAAGGAAGCACCGGCUAACUCUGUGCCAGCAGCCGCGGUAAUACAGAGGGUGCGAGCGUUGUUCGGAAUUACUGGGCGUAAAGCGCGCGCAGGCGGCCUUUUAAGUCUACCCGUGAAAUGCCGGGGCUCAACCCCGUUGCACGCCGGGGGAUACUGGGAGGCUGGAGACAGGUAGAGGCAAGCGGAAUUCCGGGUGUAGCGGUGGAAUGCGUAGAGAUCCGGAAGAACACCUGAGGCGAAGGCGGCUUGCUGGGCCUGGUCUGACGCUGAGGCGCGAAAGCGUGGGGAGCGAACAGGAUUAGAUACCCUAGUAGUCC